Molecule: ribosomal RNA, 460 nt
Filed under: uncultured bacterium
Lineage: Bacteria
Description: partial 16S ribosomal RNA
Rfam family: Bacterial small subunit ribosomal RNA
Source: RNAcentral
CCUACGGGUGGCAGCAGUGAGGACUAUUGGUCAAUGGACGAGAGUCUGAACCAGCCAAGUAGCGUGAAGGAUGACUGCCCUAUGGUUUGUAAACUUCUUUUAUAUGGGAAUAAAACAGGGUAUGCAUACCCUCUUUUAUGUACCAUAUGAAUAAGGAUAGGCUAACUCCGUGCCAGCAGCCGCGGUAAUACGGAGGAUCCGAGCGUUAUCCGGAUUUCUUGGGUUUAAAGGGAGCGUAGGUGGAUUGUUAAGUCAGUUGUGAAAGUUUGCGGCUCAACCGUAAAAUUGCAGUUGAAACUGGCAGUCUUGAGUACAGUAGAGGUGGGCGGAAUUCGUGGUGUAGCGGUGAAAUGCUUAGAUAUCACGAAGAACUCCGAUUGCGAAGGCAGCUCACUGGACUGCAACUGACACUGAUGCUCGAAAGUGUGGGUAUCAAACAGGAUUAGAUACCCUAGUAGUC